RNAcentral lists this ribosomal RNA (459 nucleotides) under uncultured bacterium. RNAcentral's name for it is "partial 16S ribosomal RNA". It matches the Rfam family "Bacterial small subunit ribosomal RNA", at positions 338 to 795 of the family's 1533-position model. The record is from RNAcentral.
CCUACGGGAGGCAGCAGUGAGGAAUAUUGGUCAAUGGCCGAGAGGCUGAACCAGCCAAGUCGCGUGAGGGAAGACGGCCCUACGGGUUGUAAACCUCUUUUGUCGGGGAGCAAAGCGAACCACGUGUGGUUCAUUGAGAGUACCCGAAGAAAAAGCAUCGGCUAACUCCGUGCCAGCAGCCGCGGUAAUACGGCGGAUGCGAGCGUUAUCCGGAUUUAUUGGGUUUUAAGGGUGCGCAGGCGGAGGUGCAAGUCAGCGGUCAAAUUGCGGGGCUCAACCCCGUACUGCCGUUGAAACUGCAUCCCUUGAGUGCGCGAGAAGUAUGCGGAAUUCCGAGUGUAGCGGUGAAAUGCGUAGAUAUUAGGAGGAACACCGGCGGCGAAGGCGGCCUGCUGGACCGUAACUGACGUUGAGGCUCGAAAGCGUGGGGAGCAAACAGGAUUAGAUACCCCUGUAGGC